AACUAACUAGGAUUCCCUCAGUAAGGGCGACUGAAGCGGGAAGUGCUCAGGAUGUGAAUCUGCGCUUUGCGCCGAAUUGUGGUCUGUAGAUGGUGGCACUAUCAGCCGGGGCAAGUCCCUUGGAACAGGGCAGCUGAGAGGGUGAGACUCCCGUUCCCCUGGCAGAAUGAGCCGCUAAUCAACGAGUCGAGUUGUUUGGGAUUGCAGCUCAAAGUGGGUGGUAAAUUCCAUCUAAAGCUAAAUAUUGGUGGGAGACCGAUAGCGUACAAGUACCGUGAGGGAAAGAUGCAAAGAACUUUGAAAAGAGAGUUAAAGAGUACCUGAAAUUGCUGAAAGGGAACCGAAGGAAACCAGUGUUUGCUUGGUCAUAUUUCCCUGUCCGCUUGCGGUUUGGGCGCUGUGUCCGGCUUGAGUUGUGGUUGGUUGGAAUCAAUGGAAGAGCACGGUAAGAGUUGAUUGCCGUUGCUAGCAUUGAUUCUGACUGAGCAGGACAAAAUGGUUUUCUUUACCCCGUCUUGAAACACGGACCAAGGAGUCUAACAUAUGUGCGAGUACAGAGGUGGCAAACCUCGGUGCGUAAUGAAAGUGACAGUGGUUGGAAAUUUGCACAAUCCGCCGGCCUCAAUCCCUCGGGAGAACGGUCUGAGUGUGAGCAUACAUGUUGGGACCCGAAAGAUGGUGAACUAUGCCUGAAUAGGGUGAAGCCAGGGGAAACUCUGGUGGAGGCUCGUAGCGAUUCUGACGUGCAAAUCGAUCGUCAAA
Molecule: ribosomal RNA, 762 nt
Filed under: Tryblionella calida
Lineage: Eukaryota; Bacillariophyta; Bacillariophyceae; Bacillariales; Bacillariaceae
Description: partial large subunit ribosomal RNA
Rfam family: Eukaryotic large subunit ribosomal RNA
Source: RNAcentral